GUUGCUUUGUGGCCUUUUAGCUGAGAUUAAGCAUAGGAUCUGUUCUUAACCAGUUUAAUAUCUUACAGGUCCUCUCUGUGAGGACUCGCUAUUAAUGGCUGUGUGGAACUCGGAGGUGGCUUGCUUCGGUCACGCUAUCCAUCGCACCAGUACUGCAGUUCCUCCAGGAGCUGUACACCGUUC
Molecule: non-coding RNA, 183 nt
Organism: Pygoscelis adeliae (Adelie penguin)
Lineage: Eukaryota; Metazoa; Chordata; Aves; Sphenisciformes; Spheniscidae
Source: Rfam